UACGUAGGGUGCGAGCGUUGUCCGGAUUUAUUGGGCGUAAAGCGCGUGUAGGCGGCCCGUUGGGUCUGCUGUGAAAACUCGAGGCUCAACCUCGAGACGUCGGCGGAAACCAUCUGGCUAGAGUCCGGAAGAGGAGAGUGGAAUUCCUGGUGUAGCGGUGAAAUGCGCAGAUAUCAGGAAGAACACCCGUGGCGAAGGCGGCUCUCUGGGACGGUACUGACGCUGAGACGCGAAAGCGUGGGGAGCGAACAGG
Molecule: ribosomal RNA, 253 nt
Filed under: uncultured bacterium
Lineage: Bacteria
Description: partial 16S ribosomal RNA
Rfam family: Bacterial small subunit ribosomal RNA
Source: RNAcentral